AGGAGUCUGAAGACACACACUCGAUGCUCCCCUCUACCACCAGAUUUCUGAACAGAUGUUGAACUCAUGAACACUACCACAGUAGACAGAUGAAAUCUCAGAUAAAGAUCUUUGGAGAAAGAUGAUGUCGGUGAUCAGGGCACUGGAUAGUAAUAAACAGGCAUUCACAUUAAGUAGAAAAACACAGAAAAAUCAAUGAAAGACCAGACCCAACGAGAUGGACACACCAGCAAUGUGCAAAAGACAACAAACAGUGCAAGC
Molecule: long non-coding RNA, 261 nt
Organism: Hypanus sabinus (Atlantic stingray)
Lineage: Eukaryota; Metazoa; Chordata; Chondrichthyes; Myliobatiformes; Dasyatidae
Exons: 3
Source: RefSeq, a predicted model, not a curated record